Molecule: ribosomal RNA, 301 nt
Filed under: uncultured bacterium
Lineage: Bacteria
Description: partial 16S ribosomal RNA
Rfam family: Bacterial small subunit ribosomal RNA
Source: RNAcentral
CAGUAGCCGCGGUAAUACGUAGGUGGCAAGCGUUGUCCGGAAUUAUUGGGCGUAAAGGGCUCGCAGGCGGUUUCUUAAGUCUGAUGUGAAAGCCCCCGGCUCAACCGGGGAGGGUCGUUGGAAACUGGGAAACUUGAGUGCAGAAGAGGAGAGUGGAAUUCCACGUGUAGCGGUGAAAUGCGUAGAGAUGUGGAGGAACACCAGUGGCGAAGGCGACUCUCUGGUCUGUAACUGACGCUGAGGAGCGAAAGCGUGGGGAGCGAACAGGAUUAGAUACCCCCGUAGUCCCUGUCUCUUAUAC